GGGGCUGCUCCUAGUACGAGAGGACCGGAGUGGACGCAUCACUGGUGUUCGGGUUGUCAUGCCAAUGGCACUGCCCGGUAGCUAAAUGCGGAAGAGAUAAGUGCUGAAAGCAUCUAAGCACGAAACUUGCCCCGAGAUGAGUUCUCCCUGAGACUUUAAGUCUCCUGAAGGAACGUUGAAGACGACGACGUUGAUAGGCCGGGUGUGUAAGCGCAGCGAUGCGUUGAGCUAACCGGUACUAAUGAACCGUGAGGCUUAACCUUACAACGCCGAAG
This 275-nucleotide ribosomal RNA is filed under the name Acinetobacter baumannii. RNAcentral's name for it is "partial 23S ribosomal RNA". It matches the Rfam family "Bacterial large subunit ribosomal RNA", at positions 2668 to 2925 of the family's 2925-position model. RNAcentral also lists the same sequence under 1 other name. The record is from RNAcentral. Lineage: Bacteria; Pseudomonadati; Pseudomonadota; Gammaproteobacteria; Moraxellales; Moraxellaceae.